UACGAAGGGGGCUAGCGUUGCUCGGAAUCACUGGGCGUAAAGCGCACGUAGGCGGACUCUUAAGUCGGUGGUGAAAUCCUGGAGCUCAACUCCAGAACUGCCUUCGAUACUGAGAGUCUCGAGUCCGAGAGAGGUGAGUGGAACUGCGAGUGUAGAGGUGAAAUUCGUAGAUAUUCGCAAGAACACCAGUGGCGAAGGCGGCUCACUGGCUCGGUACUGACGCUGAGGUGCGAAAGCGAUGGGUAGCAACGAGGA
This 255-nucleotide ribosomal RNA is filed under the name uncultured bacterium. RNAcentral describes it as "partial 16S ribosomal RNA". It matches the Rfam family "Bacterial small subunit ribosomal RNA", at positions 524 to 777 of the family's 1533-position model. The record is from RNAcentral.